RNAcentral lists this ribosomal RNA (261 nucleotides) under uncultured bacterium. Its description in RNAcentral is "partial 16S ribosomal RNA". It matches the Rfam family "Bacterial small subunit ribosomal RNA", at positions 793 to 1055 of the family's 1533-position model. The record is from RNAcentral.
GUCCACGCCGUAAACGAUGGAUACUAGAUGUCGGGGGCUCUUGUCCUUCCUGUGUCGUAGCUAACGCGAUAAGUAUCCCGCCUGGGGAGUACGUCCGCAAGGUUAAAACUCAAAGAAAUUGACGGGGGCCCGCACAAGCGGUGGAUGAUGUGGUUUAAUUCGAUGCAACGCGAAAACCUUACCUGGGUUUGACAUCCUGUGCUAUGCCUAGAGAUAGGCAGUUCCUUCGGGACACAGUGACAGGUGCUGCAUGGCUGUCGU